Globicephala melas (long-finned pilot whale) is the source of this 998-nucleotide long non-coding RNA. RefSeq lists it as uncharacterized. Lineage: Eukaryota; Metazoa; Chordata; Mammalia; Artiodactyla; Delphinidae. The record is from RefSeq and is a predicted model, not a curated record.
GUUGAGCGUCAGGUUGUAUCCAGCUCCAUCUGCGAUGCCUUGUACAACUGAAGAUCGUUGGAAUUAGAUACCCUGCAGAUCUCAGCAGUUCUCCUUAAAACAGGAGAACACUGGACCAGUUGGUUAAUCACUUCAAAGUCUCAGCACCAUGUCCCAGGGCCUACGAGAGUUGGAGGCUGAGGAGGAAUGCCCUGCAGCUAACAAAGCAGAAGGGCAAAGGAGCCAGGAACAGAUGUGACCUGUGAAGGAAGAGCAGAGGAGAGGGCCCACAUGCUUGUGAACUGGGAGGAACUGGGCAGUUCUUUGAAUGUGCGCAAUCAACUAUUGCCAUAGACUCAUACUAUCACAGUUUGCAAACAUUGACAGAGCAUUUAGAAUGCAUUGGGAACAUAAAGACUUCAAGAAACACGAAGAUGAAUAUUACAUAUUCUGUGAUUUCAGUAUAUGCCCAGAGGAAAUGAAAACAGGAUACUGAAGAGAUACCUGCACUCCCAUGUUUAUUGCAGCAUCAUGCACAAUAGCCAAGAUAUGCAAACAACCUAAGUGCCAUCCUGCCAUUUGUGACUACAUGGAUGGACCCUGAAAGCAUUACGGUAAAUGAGAAAAUGUCAGCUGGGCAGAGAGCAUGAUAAAGCCAACCUAAGAAGUAAGAAGUCUUCAAGAGGAGAAAGAAGGAGCUGGAAAGUGAAAAAUCUGAAGAUCUUAUGGCCAGAGAUUGAGAUACUCUAGGUGAAACACCUUCAGAUGAUUUUACCAGAGCUACAUCCCUGGAAAAGUAGAUGGGAAUCAGCAAACUCCAACUUGCAAACUACAAGAAAUUAGUAUUUCCCGGUGAAUAGAGUUUGCGGCAUGAAAUGAUAAGAGGGAAGACUCAACAGAUAAGAAAGAGGCUGAUUAUGGAGAUCAAGAACCUCUUCUCAACUCAGGAAUUAACACUUCGCCUGGCACGUGCUGUGAAGUCACUGAAUCCUUUUAAACAGAAAACUGCCAUGGUUGGA